CCAGGACUUUUUCGGCUUCCGACCUUGUGCUACAUCUUUCUGAACCCUCUCGACCGUCCGAGCUUCCGUAAUACCAUCCAGACUUCUCUGACAAUGACCUUCUCCAUUCAUCUACCAGGCCGCUCCAAAGGCUCUUUGGGCUUCACUAUCAGCCGACCUUCUACAGUGAUCAACUAUUCUCUGAAUCCCUUCUAGACUUCUUCCGACCGUGGAUGACCCUACUUCGAACUUCUUCCAAACUUCGUCAAUAUCUGAGCUUCUCCGAUGAUGAGAUUUCUACAGUAACCAGAUUCUAUCCAAGUUUCUACGACUGUCGACCACCUUUCGAAUUUCAUUCGAGCUCCUACGAGAAUCGAAUUUCAGUCGAACUCCUA
This 374-nucleotide long non-coding RNA is filed under the name Elaeis guineensis (African oil palm). Its description in RNAcentral is "long non-coding RNA (EGUI_LNC039481)". Lineage: Eukaryota; Viridiplantae; Streptophyta; Magnoliopsida; Arecales; Arecaceae. The record is from RNAcentral.